RNAcentral lists this ribosomal RNA (496 nucleotides) under uncultured bacterium. RNAcentral describes it as "partial 16S ribosomal RNA". It matches the Rfam family "Bacterial small subunit ribosomal RNA", at positions 28 to 507 of the family's 1533-position model. The record is from RNAcentral.
GAUGAACGCUGGCGGCGUGCUAAUACAUGCAAGUCGAGCGAACGGACGAGAAGCUUGCUUCUCUGAUGUUAGCGGCGGACGGGUGAGUAACACGUGGAUAACCUACCUAUAAGACUGGGAUAACUUCGGGAAACCGGAGCUAAUACCGGAUAAUAUUUUGAACCGCAUGGUUCAAAAGUGAAAGACGGUCUUGCUGUCACUUAUAGAAGGAUCCGCGCUGCAUUAGCUAGUUGGUAAGGUAACGGCUUACCAAGGCAACGAUGCAUAGCCGACCUGAGAGGGUGAUCGGCCACACUGGAACUGAGACACGGUCCAGACUCCUACGGGAGGCAGCAGUAGGGAAUCUUCCGCAAUGGGCGAAAGCCUGACGGAGCAACGCCGCGUGAGUGAUGAAGGUCUUCGGAUCGUAAAACUCUGUUAUUAGGGAAGAACAUAUGUGUAAGUAACUGUGCACAUCUUGACGGUACCUAAUCAGAAAGCCACGGCUAACUACGUG